This 64-nucleotide transfer RNA is filed under the name Staphylinidae sp. BMNH 1274706. RNAcentral's name for it is "tRNA-Asp". The record is from RNAcentral. Lineage: Eukaryota; Metazoa; Arthropoda; Insecta; Coleoptera; Staphylinidae.
AAAAAUUUAGUUAAUUUAUAACAUUAGCUUGUCAAGCUUAAAUUACUUUAAAAAGUAAUUUUUA